AAUCAACGCUGGCGGCGUGCCUCAGACAUGCAAGACGAACGAUUAAAGCUCUCUUCGGAGAGUGCAUAAAGUGGCGCACGGGUGAGUAACACGUAAGUAAUCUACCUUCGAGUGGGGAAUAACGUCCGGAAACGGACGCUAAUACCGCAUAAUGCAGCGGCACCUAAUGGUGACAGUUGUUAAAGAAUUUAUUCGCUUGAAGAGGAGCUUGCGGCAGAUUAGCUAGUUGGUAAGGUAAUGGCUUACCAAGGCUUCGAUCUGUAACCGGUCUAAGAGGACGGUCGGUCACACUGACACUGAAUAACGGGUCAGACUCCUACGGGAGGCAGCAGUCGGGAAUUUUGGGCAAUGGGCGAAAGCCUGACCCAGCAACGCCGCGUGAAGGAUGAAGUAUUUCGGUAUGUAAACUUCGAAAGAAUGGGAAGAAUCAAUGACGGUACCAUUUAUAAGGUCCGGCUAACUACGUGCCAGCCGCCGCCGUAA
RNAcentral lists this ribosomal RNA (483 nucleotides) under uncultured bacterium. Its description in RNAcentral is "partial 16S ribosomal RNA". It matches the Rfam family "Bacterial small subunit ribosomal RNA", at positions 32 to 523 of the family's 1533-position model. The record is from RNAcentral.